GAGUCAGAUACCUCUGCCUUGCUGCUGGCCCCUGAACUAGGGACUGAGCUGUACCAACCCCUCACUCUGGAGGAAUAUGCUGAGGAGCUGCUUAAAUUGCUGGUGGCAGAGUACUCCAAAGGCCUGCGAGCGAUGAAGCCCUACAAACAGUUACCUAGCUCAGUGUAAUAUUGCAUGGACAUGCAGGACAACCUAAAGGGAAUGAAAAGACCAUUAUUAUCCAGCUUGCCACCAGAUGCUGCCCCUCAACCUCUGACACCAUCCAUGGCAUCUGCAGGGCCAGAACUUCAAGGACAGGGCCUUUAUCAACAGCUAAGUGGCUGGCUAACCUGAGGGAGAAGAAACUGAGAACUCAGGAUGAGAUUUCAGAGACCUCAUUGCAAAGUCUCACAGAAAAAUAAAACUGAGAGCUGGAAGUUGUUUGCGGUCUGAGAGGGAAAAAGACAGGCAGCUAUCCAGAGCAUCAAAGUGGGCAGAGACAGCACCGCAGAGAAAGACAGGGACAUGCAGAGGCAUCUCCUGGAGAAACUACAGAAGCAGAAUGCUCUGCUGGAGUGUAUGCCACUAGCAGUCCCACAGACAAUCCAGUGCCCUCAACCAGGACCCAUCCAUGUUCUGCAGCCCCUGAAAUGAUGAUAUAGGGUACUGCGAACACCAGCAUAUAUUCCCUGCUGUACCCUCACAGCCAUGCUCUCAGAUGCCAUUUCCUGCCUCAGCUCAUCCAGGAUCCCAGCUUUUUCCACCCAUCAAAUGCCCCUGACAACAUUGAGCCCCAAGACUCAGGGCCAGAAGGCAAAAGAACAAGAGCAAGGUGUACACUCACCAGUGAACUGGAGCCAUCUCCCCAAAAUUGUUAUAUACUGCUCUCCACUUGCACCGUUUCAUUUUAAAGCUGUUUCAUUGUUUUAUUAUAAAUUAGAAAUACUGUACAUUCAUGAAGAAACUGCAAUGCAUGAUACAUAAAAAACCCUAAUUUUUGCAUAAGUCAUGGGUUUUUAAAAGAGUAGAAAAGCAGAGACACAAAAUGAGUGUCGUGCCAUGCCAUGUCUAGUGCCCAUAAUUGAAACUGCAAUGCUCACAAUCCAUAAGCAGUUGGGGUCUGUUCCUUGCAAUUCUUCACUGAUUCUCUGAGCUACUUCUGGCCUUUGUCUACUUGCAGGCAUCUAUUGUGGAGCUGCACUCUUCAGUCCUCACCCUCCCUGGAAUUUUGUCUUCCCAAGAAGCUUUUCCCAGAUGCCUGGCAGCUGCCUGAAACCCCUUCAUCUUUGCUAUCCUCUCCCUUCAGUGCCAGUCCUAGGGUCUGAACUCCUAGCUACAGCUCAGUUCUCCCUAGUGGCCCUACAGUCCACCCAGUCUGGUUUUCAAUCCUUAAUUAGCUGUUUCCCCUUCAGGUACCAUAGACUCACUGUUAACCCUUUAUUUGCCAGUGCAGGGCAUAAC
Molecule: long non-coding RNA, 1440 nt
Organism: Mauremys mutica (yellowpond turtle)
Lineage: Eukaryota; Metazoa; Chordata; Testudines; Geoemydidae
Exons: 3
Source: RefSeq, a predicted model, not a curated record